AUUUAUAUAGUUUAAAAAUAAAACCUUACAUUUUCACUGUAAAAAUAAAAUUUUAAUUUUUAUAAAUA
This 68-nucleotide transfer RNA is filed under the name Pogonus iridipennis. RNAcentral's name for it is "tRNA-Glu". The record is from RNAcentral. Lineage: Eukaryota; Metazoa; Arthropoda; Insecta; Coleoptera; Carabidae.